RNAcentral lists this ribosomal RNA (630 nucleotides) under bacterium SVAL1.26. RNAcentral's name for it is "bacterial SSU rRNA". It matches the Rfam family "Bacterial small subunit ribosomal RNA", at positions 74 to 701 of the family's 1533-position model. The record is from RNAcentral.
CAUCCUUCGGGAUUGAUGAGAGUGGCGCACGGGUGCGUAACGCGUAUGCAACCUACCUUUUACAGGGGGAUAGCCCGGGGAAACCCGGAUUAAUACCCCAUGGCAUCAUGAUUCCGCAUGGAUUUAUGAUUAAAGCUUUCGGGCGGUAAAAGCUGGGCAUGCGUAGGAUUAGCUAGUUGGCGGGGUAACGGCCCACCAAGGCGACGAUCCUUAGGGGUUCUGAGAGGAAGGUCCCCCACACUGGCACUGAGAUACGGGCCAGACUCCUACGGGAGGCAGCAGUAGGGAAUAUUGGGCAAUGGGCGCAAGCCUGACCCAGCCAUGCCGCGUGCAGGAAGACGGCGUUAUGCGUUGUAAACUGCUUUUAUCUGGGAAGAAAAAGGUCCUGCGGGAUCAACUGACGGUACCAGAUGAAUAAGCACCGGCUAACUCCGUGCCAGCAGCCGCGGUAAUACGGAGGGUGCAAGCGUUGUCCGGAUUUAUUGGGUUUAAAGGGUGCGUAGGCGGCCAAUUAAGUCAGCGGUGAAAGUUUUCGGCUCAACCGGAAAAUUGCCAUUGAUACUGGUUGGCUUGAGUGUUGAUGGGGUACCUGGAAUUGAUGGUGUAGCGGUGAAAUGCAUAGAUACCAUC